This 351-nucleotide transfer-messenger RNA is filed under the name Pseudolysobacter antarcticus. Its description in RNAcentral is "Standard tmRNA". It matches the Rfam family "transfer-messenger RNA". From Rfam's summary of the family: Bacterial tmRNA, also known as 10Sa RNA or SsrA, is named for its dual tRNA and mRNA-like properties. The record is from Rfam by way of RNAcentral. Lineage: Bacteria; Pseudomonadati; Pseudomonadota; Gammaproteobacteria; Lysobacterales; Rhodanobacteraceae.
GGGGGCGAUCGGCUUCGACGGGGGUUACGAAAUCACUGGGUGCAUGCCGAGGGGGUAGCUUUCCUCGUUAAUCCAGCUGCAAAAUUAUAGUUGCCAACGACGACAACUACGCACUGGCCGCUUAAGGCCUAAGCCCUGAACCCCUUUGUCCCUGUGCUCGGGGAUGUUCAGGUCAUUAUCACAGGAUCGCCGCUGCACUCGUCUGGCGUGCAGCGUCUAAAACUACAGACUGAUGUUCGGACAGCCUAGCCACUCGGACUGCCGAAUGUGACAUCAAAUGAGCGUGCUAAGCAUGUAGUACCGAGGACGUAGGACUUUCGGACGGGGGUUCAAUUCCCCCCGCCUCCACCA